GCGCGUGUAGCUCAGUUGGAUAGAGCGACCGCCUCCUAAGCGGUAGGCCCCAGGUUCGAAUCCUGGCACGCGCGCCA
RNAcentral lists this transfer RNA (77 nucleotides) under Acidobacteriota bacterium. RNAcentral describes it as "Acidobacteria bacterium (marine metagenome) tRNA-Arg". It matches the Rfam family "tRNA". From Rfam's summary of the family: Transfer RNA (tRNA) molecules are approximately 80 nucleotides in length. Lineage: Bacteria; Pseudomonadati; Acidobacteriota. The record is from RNAcentral. RNAcentral also lists the same sequence under 1 other name.